Clupea harengus (Atlantic herring) is the source of this 994-nucleotide long non-coding RNA. NCBI's taxonomy places the organism in Eukaryota, Metazoa, Chordata, Actinopteri, Clupeiformes, Clupeidae. The record is from Ensembl.
UGGACCAAUGCUGCCAUGUUGUUCAGUGUAACCAAAUUCUUUCCAUAACAAAUUCUGGGACGACAGAUGAGAAAACACUAGCGCUAAAAUCUUUAAAGUGUACAAUUUUGAUAUGUGUGUGCGUGUAUUUGUGUAUUGUUAUGUGUUCAUAUUGCAGUUCUCUUUACUGUCUGAACUUCAGAUGAUGCUGUGCGUCAACCUACGGUGAGCGUCUACUCCAGCACCAAAUCUCAAAAAGAGAACACCUUUCUGUGCCAUGCCAGUAAUAUGUUCCCAGACUUGGUCAGAUUCCACUGGAAAGUGUUCAAAGCUGGAAAGUGGGAAAACGUGGUGAAGAAUGACCGCGAGGUGCUGGAGACCAGCUUCUCAGACAAGACAAACACCAGCAUCAUGAUUAUUGACAAGCAGAAGGCCGGUGGCAACCGAUACGCCUGCUCCUACACACACGAAGCCCUCAGGGAAGGAAAAGAGAGCAAGCCUCUGGAGAUAGAGGGAAAGAAAGGAGGACAAACUGAGCCGGUGACAAAACCUCAAGCAAAAACCUUCAAUGUCACAGUCUGCUCAACACCCAACGACACAGCUAUCUCCACGUUACACCAACUAGAUGAGUACUUUGGAGCCGCACGCAGUCUGUAUCUGGCAACAUGGGUGUACACCCUUAUGAUUUUUAAAAGCACGGUGUACUUCUGCGCCAUCUCCUACUUCAUAUGCACAAAGAACAUGAGAAGCAAGCGCUCCCUCAACCGUAGAGCUCCCUGAUACAGCGUGCUGUGGAGCUGAGUGAUGUGCUUAUUCUACAUGCCAUUCUUUGUGACGCUUGUGCCAGGUCAAACUUGGGCGCCGAUCUUUAUCUGAUUCUCCCUUUUCAGCAAAUACUAUUUUCAAAAUGUCUCAAUACAUAUCAGUAUCUAUGCACAUUAUUUCCUCUUUAUUUUCCACCUAUGUUUUUUUUUUUUUUUGUUAUGCUUGAUUACUUUGUUAUGUUUUAAGAUGC